This 363-nucleotide ribosomal RNA is filed under the name Triticum aestivum (bread wheat). RNAcentral's name for it is "partial small subunit ribosomal RNA". The record is from RNAcentral. Lineage: Eukaryota; Viridiplantae; Streptophyta; Magnoliopsida; Poales; Poaceae.
AUGUCCACGGGCUCUGUCCCCUUCGACUUCUUCAUCAUCACCACUGGAUCGAGGGCGAGGAGCCGCGUCGGCGUCGCCUCACGUCGUUGUCUUUGUCUACGGUCGCCAAGCGCCCCCACCAUCGAUCAGCACCACCUCGGCCUCUCCCGCUUCACGGAGACCUCCGUGAGACCCGCUAUGCUGGAGCCCAGGAGCCAGACGCCACCGUCGACAACGACUCCUACUACACUGGAGGUUCCUACUACUACAUGCAGGCCGUUGACGACGACUAGGAGUAGUUUAGGAGGAUCCCAGGCAGGAGGCCUGCGCCUCUUUCGAUCUGUAUCUCAGUUUGUGCUAGCCUUCUUAAGGCAACUUGUUUAA